This is a non-coding RNA of Capsicum annuum, 159 nucleotides long. The record is from Rfam. Lineage: Eukaryota; Viridiplantae; Streptophyta; Magnoliopsida; Solanales; Solanaceae.
AUACUAACCGGACGGGGUCAAUAGGUGAUUAAGAAGGUCCAUGGCCAAGGUUGGUGACUUCCAUUGCACUUUGGAGGGGCGCCCGCCUAAGGCCAACCCAAGUGGUUGAGCCUACAUUUAAUUUUUAGCCAUGAGGUCUUGUGUUAGCAUGACCCCUAU